AGAGUUUGAUCCUGGCUCAGGAUGAACGCUGGCGGCGUGCCUAAUACAUGCAAGUCGAGCGAACAGAUAAGGAGCUUGCUCCUUUGAAGUUAGCGGCGGACGGGUGAGUAACACGUGGGUAACCUACCUAUAAGACUGGGAUAACUUCGGGAAACCGGAGCUAAUACCGGAUAACAUUUAGAACCGCAUGGUUCUAAAGUGAAAGAUGGUUUUGCUAUCACUUAUAGAUGGACCCGCGCCGUAUUAGCUAGUUGGUAAGGUAACGGCUUACCAAGGCGACGAUACGUAGCCGACCUGAGAGGGUGAUCGGCCACACUGGAACUGAGACACGGUCCAGACUCCUACGGGAGGCAGCAGUAGGGAAUCUUCCGCAAUGGGCGAAAGCCUGACGGAGCAACGCCGCGUGAGUGAUGAAGGGUUUCGGCUCGUAAAACUCUGUUGUUAGGGAAGAACAAAUGUGUAAGUAACUGUGCACAUCUUGACGGUACCUAAUCAGAAAGCCACGGCUAACUACGUG
This 517-nucleotide ribosomal RNA is filed under the name uncultured Staphylococcus sp. Its description in RNAcentral is "bacterial SSU rRNA". It matches the Rfam family "Bacterial small subunit ribosomal RNA", at positions 8 to 507 of the family's 1533-position model. The record is from RNAcentral. Lineage: Bacteria; Bacillati; Bacillota; Bacilli; Caryophanales; Staphylococcaceae.